This 253-nucleotide ribosomal RNA is filed under the name uncultured prokaryote. RNAcentral describes it as "partial 16S ribosomal RNA". It matches the Rfam family "Bacterial small subunit ribosomal RNA", at positions 524 to 776 of the family's 1533-position model. The record is from RNAcentral.
GACAGGGGAUGCAAGCGUUAUCCGGAAUGAUUGGGCGUAAAGCGUCUGUAGGUGGCUUUUUAAGUCUGCCGUCAAAUCCCAGGGCUCAACCCUGGCCAGGCGGUGGAGACUACUAAGCUGGAGUACGGUAGGGGCAGAGGGAAUUUCCGGUGGAGCGGUGAAAUGCGUAGAUAUCGGAAGGAACUCCGGCGGCGAAAGCGAUGCACUGGCUGGUUUCUGACGCUGAGGCACGAAAGCGUGGGGAUCAAACAGG